AUUGCCCAGUUCUGGAUAUGAAGACAAUCAAGAAAAGAUUUGGUGUUCUUGAUUGUCUUCAUAUCUAGAACUGGGCAGU
Molecule: microRNA precursor, 79 nt
Organism: Pan paniscus (pygmy chimpanzee)
Lineage: Eukaryota; Metazoa; Chordata; Mammalia; Primates; Hominidae
Product: microRNA 4782
Source: Ensembl